This 5478-nucleotide long non-coding RNA is filed under the name Setaria viridis. Its description in RNAcentral is "long non-coding RNA (SVIR_LNC006230)". Lineage: Eukaryota; Viridiplantae; Streptophyta; Magnoliopsida; Poales; Poaceae. The record is from RNAcentral.
UCACCUGUCUGGUUGGUGUCCAAGCUGCUAAGCUUAUCAAAGCUGCACAACCGCACCACCUCCUCAGGUAUCCCGUCUUCUUCUUCCUUGAUACUGAAGGGGACACCGAGGAAUGUUGCAAGUCUAAUGACAUACUUUAUUGGUUCUAACAUCAUAUCUUCAUACUUGAGAAAAAGAAUCCUGUUAGGGCAUGCGACGCUCUCCCUCCAGUACUCGAGGCAAUGCUCCCAAAAAGGUCCGUAGUUUGAGAAACCUUCGGAAAACAUGUUGACAGCAGCCUCAAAGUCAACACUACGUUCCCUAAUGACCUUACUCUUGAAGUGCCACCAGGACACAAGAGCGUCCUUUGGAUCUCGACAAACGUACACAGUACGACAACCACAACUAGCUAAGGAAUCUGGGAACAACGAGAGGGGCAUAUGGGUAGCAAGAAGCCUUGGAGAUGGGAGUGUCUCUACAUAGGUCAUGUCACCAUCUCGAGGGAUCUCGAGGAAUGGCACCACCUCCUGGGGAUGACGGAAGAGAAGAGGGUGAUUGCCAAACUCAUACCGGGAGCGAUUGGUGAUUGUGAAGGCGAGGGCCUUGAUCCACGUGGUGCCACACUUGGGGUUCGUUGCGAGAACGAUGUCGUCGUGGCGAGCUUCGAAGGUGUUCUGGAGGCGCAUGAUGGUUGCAGCGAAACGUGGACGGAGCCAGUAGUUCUUGUAGAGCACCAAUGGCUCCGACCACCCCUCCCUCGUUGGAAGUUUGGAUAGAGGAUCAUCAGUGCCGUGGCUAUUUGUGGCGCUUCCCUCCAUGACUUGUGCCAUAGCUCAGCUGCUUUGGAGUUCUUGCGCGCUCUACAUCUGGGAGACUGGGACGAUGGAUUGGAUGGCUACUUGUAUAAGUCAUGCUUCGUUUUUUGGGUACAGAUUCGGUCAAUCUCGUGAUUAGCGAGUAUGUUUUUUAUUCCUAAUAAAGAAAAGGGACAGAUAAGAUCAUAUGGUGGGGAUCGACAUAGCUGAAGUUCUUUAAUUUGGAUCUCCAGCAGGGAUAUGGCCCCUGCUGCGGCGGACGGAGCUCCGAUCCUCCCUAGAACAAUGCAGAAACAUGCAUACUUCGACGGCGAGAACAUCCGCCGGAGACGAGGAUGCCAGCUACCACGCGACGGAGGAUGCCGACGGCGAUGAGAGCGCCUACAAGCAGCAGAUGUCUCGUGACAUGAUUCCUCUGUCCUUUUGCCAUAAAAAAAGGCAGCCCUCGAUGGACGAUGUCACCGGACGGCGUCACCGGCGCCCCAUGUGCGUGGUCUCCUCCUCCAUGCACGAUGUCCGCAUGGUCGGCUACGAGCACACGCAGGUUCGCAGGCAGAUCGAUCAGGUCGAUGCGCCGACGCAGCUCAUCAGCUCCUCCACGUACGUACGGUCGCCGCCGGCUUUGUUCUUCCAUCCUCUCUUAAACUUCCUUCCUAUCCUGACAUGGGACAAAACGAAACACAUGAAGCAAAAAUGUUGCUCAAGCCUUACUGGUUGUGUUUCUCUAAAGCUCAAGGACAAAUAGGAUCGUAUCAUAUCACCUACCUUGCCUCUCCUGAAGGAGGCUGAUUUCUCGUAGACCACAUUGGGUCAUGGAUGGGGUUCUCAAUCACUACCGGAAACCGGGUGUUUGCCGAGUGCAAGGAUCUUUGCCGAGUGCAUUCUAUCGGGCACUUGGCAAAAAAGCUCUUUGCCGAGUGCUGCCAAAAAACACUCGGCAAAAGAGCUAAAAAAAAACACUGGGCAAAGCCUGGCACUCGGCAACCUAGAAAAAAACAAUCGGCAAAGAUAGGCACUCGGCAAAGAAAUAUGUUUGUUGAGUCUAAUUAUUUAGCACCUGGCAAAUAAUUUCACUUUUUUUUCUAUUCUGACCUUGAAACUUUUUCUACUCUCCACAUAAAACAUGUGGUAUUCCAUGUUAAAAUUUGGUAUAUUUCUGGAUCCGUUUGCUAUAUUUAAUUAGUUUAUUGCAUUUCUAGGAAUUUUUUGGUAUAAGUCAAAUUUGAACUGCAAGUGAUUCAAAUAAUAGAAUAAAAUGAGUAGAAAAAUUGAUAUUUAUGUUAUUGUGUCCAGUGUGAGGCCUUACCUAGGAAAUGAAAAGAAAUUUCAAACAUCUUGUUCAGAAAACACGACCACGAACGUUUGGCCGAAUGGUUUUUAAAUUCUAAAAAAAGCAAACAAAGUCAGAAAAUCAUGAGAUUUUUCAUGUGUGAUGAUAUCAUACAUGGAGGCUGUGGUAAAAAAUUGAGAAGGUUUCGCACAAUUUGUCACGAACGAUAUUUACAAACCGAAGCAUCUCAGAAAAAGAAUCGUAGCGUUGAGAAGGAUUCAGUAAGAUUUGGAGUCAAAGUGACGGUCGAAUUGGGGUUUGACUUCAAAAUCUUUUGUAUAGGCAAUAGAGAACAUAGGUUAUUUCAUGUGAAAUUUUGGUAUUUUUUUGAUUCGUUUGAUAAUUUUAAUUUAUUAAGUGUAAUUAUAAAAUUUUAAUUGAUAUAAAUUAAAUUUGAGCUAUAACCGCAUAAAAUAAUGGAGUAAUAUUCGUAGAAAAAUCAUAUAUGUAUGUAUAUAUAUAUAUAUAUAGAUAUAUAUAUAUUGUCGAGUCAAUUUGAUAAGGUAUUUUCAAAGGAUAUCAGGAAACACGGUAUGGAAAAGAAGAAAAUGGGAACCUAGUGCAGACACUCGGUAAAGAUAACUUUACUCAGUGCCGUGAUCUGACACUCAGUAAAGUAGCUUUGUUGAGUGUCCUAAAUUCGACACUCGCCGCCUUAUAAAACUCACCCGGCCACCGCCCCCUUCCUCCCCCCUCCCCUCCCUUUCCCGGCGCCACCCCCCUCUCCUACCGACGCCGCCCCCUCCCCUCCCUCCGUCUCCCGCCGGCGACCCCUCCCUCUCCCGCUAGCACCACUCCCUCUCGCGAUGCUGCCCCCUCCCCUCCCUCCAUCUCCCGCCAGCGCCCCCUCCCUCUCCCGCCGGCACCACCCCCUCCCCUCCCUCCCUCUCCCCCCAUCUCCCUCUUUUUUUUUCACAGGCGGUGGCGGCGGCGUUGUGGUGGCGGAGACGGCGUCAUGGUGGUCGUGGCGGCGUGUUUUUAUAUUUUUCAAAAUAUUUUUUACCGAGUGCUCGAGAAAAAACACUCGGCAAAGACAGCUAUGCCGAGUCUUUGUUUGCUGAGUGCCGUUUGCUGAGUGGAAUACUUGGCAAAGGGUUUUCCGAAUGUUUUUUUUUUGCCUUCGCCGUGUGCCGUGGGUACACGGCAAACCUGGGCAUUCCGACAGUGAAUGUUGGCCAUGCAUGCAUCGUCCUAGCUAGGCUUAAUGACACCUACCCAUCGAGAUAAAUGGUGUCAAAUUUAUUUUCUGCUGAUUGGACUCUAAACAGAAAAGAUUAACACCUCUAAUUUUGAUGACCCAGGUAUAUAAUAAGGAUUAAUUUGCGAGCACGAUUGAGCUAAUCUGUACUCCCUCAGUCCCAAAAUAAGUGUUCAUUUAGAAAAUUUUGGACACAUUAGUAAUUGUGAGAAGUGAUCAUGCUAUUCCUAAUUACUCAUAUUAGUUGUGGUUGAAAGCUGUCCAAUCUGUUUGAUUUUCUGGAUCCUGAAUACACGCACAUGCACGUGCAUUGGAACUAGAGAAAAAACAUCAAUUGAUCAUUUCAUUGGAUCUAUGCACUUCUCAACAUACUUAUUUUUAUUGGUGCGAGUAUUACUUUAAUUAGAUGAGCCUCACUUGAAGGUAAAUGAACUUUCUUUGUGAUAAAUUUGAAAGAAAAACGAAUCCUUAUUUUGGGAUAGAUUGGGACAGGGAGUAAGCCGAUACUUAAAAAAAGGAAGAUGGUUGGUGGCAUGUCACGUUCCUCUGUCCUUUUACCAUCAAACAAAGCAUUAUAUUAUUACAUGGAUCGAUGAACUCUCGCACCGGCAGCAGCGGCUCCUCGUCGGCUUGCAGUUUCCCCUCUAUAUUUCCGUAGACACAACGACGACGACGAAAACGCAGCAGCAGCCAGCGAGGAGGAAUCCCAUGGGCCAUGGCCCCCAGGACCAGCAGGACCACAGCCACCACGCGAACGCCCAGGCCGGCCGCCCGAUGAGCGCGGUAGAAGAGCAUCGAGAGGACGCAGAAGGCGAUGAGCGCGCCAACCAUGCACAGCUGCGGCGCGCAUCGACGGUCGGGAUCCGGCCUCGCAUCAACGACGCCGCCGCCGCCGCCGGGGUUCUCGAUGUCCGCCAUAGCAGCUAGCCUUUGGUGUUCGUUACUAGCUAGGGGGGAAAAGCAAGCGAGCUCAAUGCAAUCAACGUAGAGAGUAUCAACCCACGAAAAGGGCCCCACAAGCGAACGCACCGCCUCCCGCCGGCCCGUGGGCGCUCGGUCCCCACGCGCGCCGGCGGCGCCAACCUCUCCCGCUGAUGCUCCGGUCCCCCGCGCGCGCCGGCUCUACCGCCGCCUCCCGCGGGCACGCCGGCCUCACUGCCUCCGCGUUGCACACGCCGUGGUCUGAGAAGCUGACUGAGGUUGAAGAAGAAGAAAAAUCCGAAAAUGUCGGCUCUUCUUUGAAAAAAAUGUUGAAUCCGGUUUUCCAAAAUGUUGAAGUAGGCACAUAAAAAUAUUGAAUGUAGUUUUUUUCCUUAUGAAAUGUUGAUCUAGAAUGAAAAUGCUGAAUCUGUUCAUUUUAGAUGUUGAUUAAACUGUUGAAAAAUGUUGAAACUAGUUUGUUAAAAUGUUGACUUAAACUUCGCUUCCACUAGCUACAUAGGAGGCCCUGCGGCACUACUAGCAGAAAUUUCGCUCAAUAAAAAAGAAAGCAGCAAGUAGAAAUUCCAUUAAAGAAUCAUGACUUGCGCAAUGGAUGACUUUGUUUAUUAAUUCAAACAAUCGAGACAUGAAGAACCAGGAAGGCCAAAUCCCUUCAGUUUCUUCCAUUUCUUCACUCAUGUGAUUCAACCGGGUCCAGUUUCUCCUUUCUUCAGUGAUUGUCGGCAAUCAUGACGUGUUUAAGAGAGAGAAAAAGCAGAACAUGCAAAUAUGACAUGUUUAUUCUUGCAAACAUACAAAUAUGAUGUCAAAUAUAAAGCAUACAAAGAAAAUAAAAGCAAAAGGAGAUGCACAUUAGAGCACAAGGCCAGUUCCCUUCAAUUUCUCUUCCACAAUGCAAUCUAGCUUUCUCCCCAUCUCUUGGCUCAUGUGAUUCACCCAAUCCCCCACCUUCCCUUUCCUGAAGAACACUGACUUCUCAAUAAUUAGGUUGCCAGGCCGGACCAGUUCACCUGUCUUGUUGGUGUCCAAGCUGCUAAGCUUAUCAAAGCUGCACAACCUCACCACCUCCUCAGGUAUCCCAUCUUCUUCUUCCUUGAUACUGAAGGGGACACGGAGGAAUGUUGCAAGUCUGAUGACAUGCUUCACUGGUUCUGACAUCAUAUCUUCGUACUUGAGAAAAAGAAUCCUGUUAGGGCAUGCGAUGCUCUCCCUCC